UACGUAGGGUGCAAGCGUUAAUCGGAAUUACUGGGCGUAAAGCGUGCGCAGGCGGCUUUGCAAGACAGAUGUGAAAUCCCCGGGCUUAACCUGGGAACUGCAUUCGGGACUGCAUUGCUAGAGUAUGGGAGAGGGAAGUGGAAUUUCAGGUGUAGCGGUGAAAUGCGUAGAUAUCUGAAGGAACAUCAGUGGCGAAAGCGACUUCCUGGACCAAUACUGACGCUCAUGUGCGAAAGCGUGGGGAGCAAACAGG
RNAcentral lists this ribosomal RNA (253 nucleotides) under uncultured bacterium. Its description in RNAcentral is "partial 16S ribosomal RNA". It matches the Rfam family "Bacterial small subunit ribosomal RNA", at positions 524 to 776 of the family's 1533-position model. The record is from RNAcentral.